Molecule: small nucleolar RNA, 107 nt
Organism: Arabidopsis thaliana (thale cress)
Lineage: Eukaryota; Viridiplantae; Streptophyta; Magnoliopsida; Brassicales; Brassicaceae
Rfam family: Plant small nucleolar RNA R71
About the family: R71 is a member of the C/D box family of snoRNAs containing the C (UGAUGA) and D (CUGA) box motifs. Multiple nearly identical copies of this snoRNA have been identified in Arabidopsis, and it is thought to function as a 2'-O-ribose methylation guide for 18S ribosomal RNA.
Source: Rfam
AAGCCAUGAUGAGGGCAUUGGUUGGUAUAACCCUUGAAAUGCUCCCAUGCUUCAUAGAAGCUUUCACCAGCCUUCUGUAAAAAGCCGAAGAUCUCGUUUCUGAGUCU